RNAcentral lists this ribosomal RNA (897 nucleotides) under uncultured bacterium. RNAcentral describes it as "bacterial SSU rRNA". It matches the Rfam family "Bacterial small subunit ribosomal RNA", at positions 8 to 916 of the family's 1533-position model. The record is from RNAcentral.
AGAGUUUGAUCCUGGCUCAGGACGAACGCUGGCGGCGUGCUUAACACAUGCAAGUCACGGGGGCUCGCAAGAGCAACCGGCGAACGGGUGCGUAACACGUGAGCAACCUACCGAUUUGUGGGGGAUAGCUGGCCUAACGGCCAGGUAAUACCGCAUACGCUCGCCGAGGGACAUCCCUUGGUAAGGAAACCUCCGGGGCAAAUCGAGGGGCUCGCGGCCUAUCAGCUAGUUGGCGAGGUCACGGCUCACCAAGGCGACGACGGGUAGCUGGUCUGAGAGGAUGGCCAGCCACAUUGGGACUGAGAAACGGCCCAGACUCCUACGGGAGGCAGCAGUGGGGAAUCUUACGCAAUGGACGAAAGUCUGACGCAGCGACGCCGCGUGGGGGAUGAAGGCUUUCGGGUUGUAAACCCCUGUUGCCCGGGACGAACUUCUCCUUUCGAGGAGAUUGACGGUACCGGGUGAGGAAGCACCGGCUAACUCUGUGCCAGCAGCCGCGGUAAUACAGAGGGUGCGAGCGUUGUCCGGAAUCACUGGGCGUAAAGGGCGCGUAGGUGGCGCGACAAGUCAGUGGUGAAAGCUCGAUGCUUAACAUCGAGUCGGCCACUGAUACUGUUGGGCUUGAGCACUGUAGAGGCUAAUGGAAUUCCGGGUGUAGCGGUGGAAUGCGUAGAGAUCCGGAAGAACACCGGUGGCGAAGGCGGUUAGCUGGGCAGUUGCUGACACUGAGGCGCGACAGCGUGGGGAGCAAACAGGAUUAGAUACCCUGGUAGUCCACGCCGUAAACGAUGGGCACUAGAUGCUUGGGGGAGCGACCCCCUGAGUGUCGACGCUAACGCAUUAAGUGCCCCGCCUGGGGAGUACGGCCGCAAGGCUGAAACUCAAAGGAAUUGACGG